This 254-nucleotide ribosomal RNA is filed under the name uncultured bacterium. RNAcentral's name for it is "partial 16S ribosomal RNA". It matches the Rfam family "Bacterial small subunit ribosomal RNA", at positions 524 to 776 of the family's 1533-position model. The record is from RNAcentral.
UACGAAGGGGGCUAGCGUUGCUCGGAAUUACUGGGCGUAAAGGGCGCGUAGGCGGAUAUCUAAGUUGGGGGUGAAAUCCCGGGGCUCAACCUCGGAAUUGCCUUCAAAAACUGGAUAUCUUGAGUUCGGGAGAGGUGAGUGGAACUCCGAGUGUAGAGGUGAAAUUCGUAGAUAUUCGGAAGAACACCAGUGGCGAAGGCGACUCACUGGCCCGAUACUGACGCUGAGGCGCGAAAGCGUGGGGAGCAAACAGG